RNAcentral lists this ribosomal RNA (468 nucleotides) under uncultured bacterium. Its description in RNAcentral is "partial 16S ribosomal RNA". It matches the Rfam family "Bacterial small subunit ribosomal RNA", at positions 28 to 507 of the family's 1533-position model. The record is from RNAcentral.
GACGAACGCUGGCGGCGUGCUUAACACAUGCAAGUCGAACGGAAAGGCCCUGCUUUUGUGGGGUGCUCGAGUGGCGAACGGGUGAGUAACACGUGAGUAACCUGCCCUUGACUUUGGGAUAACUUCAGGAAACUGGGGCUAAUACCGGAUAGGAGCUCCUGCUGCAUGGUGGGGGUUGGAAAGUUUCGGCGGUUGGGGAUGGACUCGCGGCUUAUCAGCUUGUUGGUGGGGUAGUGGCUUACCAAGGCUUUGACGGGUAGCCGGCCUGAGAGGGGGACCGGCCACAUUGGGACUGAGAUAAGGCCCAGACUCCUACGGGAGGCAGCAGUGGGGAAGAUUGCACAAUGGGCGGAAGCCUGAUGCAGCAACGCCGCGUGCGGGAUGACGGCCUUCGGGUUGUAAACCGCUUUCGCCUGUGACGAAGCGUGAGUGACGGUAAUGGGUAAAGAAGCACCGGCUAACUACGUG